RNAcentral lists this ribosomal RNA (253 nucleotides) under uncultured bacterium. Its description in RNAcentral is "partial 16S ribosomal RNA". It matches the Rfam family "Bacterial small subunit ribosomal RNA", at positions 1247 to 1500 of the family's 1533-position model. The record is from RNAcentral.
AAGCUAAGCAGUGAUGUGGAGCAAAUCCCCAAAAGCAGUCUUAGUUCGGAUUGUAGGCUGCAACCCGCCUACAUGAAGUCGGAAUUGCUAGUAAUCGCGGAUCAGCAUGCCGCGGUGAAUACGUUCCCGGGCCUUGUACACACCGCCCGUCACACCAUGGGAGUUGGUAACACCCGAAGUCAGUAGCCUAACCGCAAGGAGGGCGCUGCCGAAGGUGGGAUCGAUGACUGGGGUGAAGUCGUAACAAGGUAAC